Molecule: ribosomal RNA, 1161 nt
Filed under: uncultured bacterium
Lineage: Bacteria
Description: bacterial SSU rRNA
Rfam family: Bacterial small subunit ribosomal RNA
Source: RNAcentral
GAUUAGCUAGUUGGUAGGGUAAGAGCCUACCAAGGCGACGAUCAGUAACUGGUCUGAGAGGAUGACCAGUCACACUGGGACUGAGACACGGCCCAGACCCCUACGGGAGGCAGCAGUGGGGAAUUUUCCGCAAUGGGCGAAAGCCUGACGGAGCAAUACCGCGUGAGGGAGGAAGGCUCUUGGGUUGUAAACCUCUUUUUCUCAGGGAAGAACCAAAAAUGACGGUACCUGAGGGAAUUAAGCAUCGGCUGACUUCGUGCCAGCAGCCGCGGUAAUACGGAGGAUGCAAGCGUUAUCCGGAAUUAUUGGGCGUAAAGCGUCCGCAGGUGGCAGGCUCAAGUCUGCUGUCAAAGGUCAGGGCUUAACCCUGAACAGGCAGUGGAAACUGAACAGCUAGAGUGCGGUAGGGGCAGAGGGGAAUUCCCAGUGUAGCGGUGAAAACGCGUAGAGAUUGGGAAGAACACCGGUGGCGAAAGCGCUCUGCUAGACCGUAACUGACACUCAUGGACGAAAGCUAGGGGAGCGAAUGGGAUUAGAUACCCCAGUAGUCCUAGCCGUAAACGAUGGAUACUAGGCGUUGCGAGUAUCGACCCUCGCAGUGCCGUAGCUAACGCGUUAAGUAUCCCGCCUGGGGAGUACGCGCGCAAGCGUGAAACUCAAAGGAAUUGACGGGGGCCCGCACAAGCGGUGGAGUAUGUGGUUUAAUUCGAUGCAACGCGAAGAACCUUACCAGGACUUGACAUGUCGCGAAUCUUAGGGAAACCUAAGAGUGCCUUUCGGGAGCGCGAACACAGGUGGGUGCGUGGCCUGUCGUCAGCUCGUGUCGUGAGAUGUUGGGUUAAGUCCCGCAACGAGCGCAACCCUCGUUUUUAGUUGCCAGCAUUAAGUUGGGCACUCUAGAGAGACUGCCGGUGACAAACCGGAGGAAGGUGGGGAUGACGUCAAGUCAGCAUGCCCCUUACGUUCUGGGCUACACACGUACUACAAUGCUACGGACAAAGGGCAGCAAGUUAGCGAUGACAAGCAAAUCCCAUAAACCGUGGCUCAGUUCAGAUUGCAGGCUGCAACUCGCCUGCAUGAAGGCGGAAUCGCUAGUAAUCCCAGAUCAGCACGCUGGGGUGAAUACGUUCCCGGGCCUUGUACACACCGCCCGUCACACCA